AAAUACCUGGCGGCGGCUUACACAUGCAAGUCCUACGGUAGCAGGAGAAAGCUUGCUUUCUUGCUGACGAGUGGCGGACGGGUGAGUAAUGCUUGGGAAUCUGGCUUAUGGAGGGGGAUAACUACUGGAAACGGUAGCUAAUACCGCGUAAUGUCUACGGACUAAAGGGUGGGACCAUUUGGCCACCUGCCAUAAGAUGAGCCCAAGUGGGAUUAGGUAGUUGGUGAGGUAAAGGCUCACCAAGCCCGCGAUCUCUAGCUGGUCUGAGAGGAUGACCAGCCACACUGGAACUGAGACACGGUCCAGACUCCUACGGGAGGCAGCAGUGGGGAAUAUUGCACAAUGGGGGGAACCCUGAUGCAGCCAUGCCGCGUGAAUGAAGAAGGCCUUCGGGUUGUAAAGUUCUUUCGGUGACGAGGAAGGCGAUUGUUUUAAUAGAACAGUCGAUUGACGUUAAUCACAGAAGAAGCACCGGCUAACUCCGUGCCAGCAGCCGCGGUAAU
RNAcentral lists this ribosomal RNA (503 nucleotides) under uncultured bacterium. RNAcentral describes it as "bacterial SSU rRNA". It matches the Rfam family "Bacterial small subunit ribosomal RNA", at positions 36 to 524 of the family's 1533-position model. The record is from RNAcentral.